AAAUUGAAGAGUUUGAUCAUGGCUCAGAUUGAACGCUGGCGGCAGGCCUAACACAUGCAAGUCGAGCGGAAACGAGUUAUCUGAACCUUCGGGGAACGAUAACGGCGUCGAGCGGCGGACGGGUGAGUAAUGCCUAGGAAAUUGCCCUGAUGUGGGGGAUAACCAUUGGAAACGAUGGCUAAUACCGCAUGAUGCCUACGGGCCAAAGAGGGGGACCUUCGGGCCUCUUGCGUCAGGAUAUGCCUAGGUGGGAUUAGCUAGUUGGUGAGGUAAGGGCUCACCAAGGCGACGAUCCCUAGCUGGUCUGAGAGGAUGAUCAGCCACACUGGAACUGAGACACGGUCCAGACUCCUACGGGAGGCAGCAGUGGGGAAUAUUGCACAAUGGGCGCAAGCCUGAUGCAGCCAUGCCGCGUGUGUGAAGAAGGCCUUCGGGUUGUAAAGCACUUUCAGUCGUGAGGAAGGUAGUGUAGUUAAUAGCUGCAUUAUUUGACGUUAGCGACAGAAGAAGCACCGGCUAACUCCGUGCCAGCAGCCGCGGUAAUACGGAGGGUGCGAGCGUUAAUCGGAAUUACUGGGCGUAAAGCGCAUGCAGGUGGUUUGUUAAGUCAGAUGUGAAAGCCCGGGGCUCAACCUCGGAAUAGCAUUUGAAACUGGCAGACUAGAGUACUGUAGAGGGGGGUAGAAUUUCAGGUGUAGCGGUGAAAUGCGUAGAGAUCUGAAGGAAUACCGGUGGCGAAGGCGGCCCCCUGGACAGAUACUGACACUCAGAUGCGAAAGCGUGGGGAGCAAACAGGAUUAGAUACCCUGGUAGUCCACGCCGUAAACGAUGUCUACUUGGAGGUUGUGGCCUUGAGCCGUGGCUUUCGGAGCUAACGCGUUAAGUAGACCGCCUGGGGAGUACGGUCGCAAGAUUAAAACUCAAAUGAAUUGACGGGGGCCCGCACAAGCGGUGGAGCAUGUGGUUUAAUUCGAUGCAACGCGAAGAACCUUACCUACUCUUGACAUCCAGAGAACUUUCCAGAGAUGGAUUGGUGCCUUCGGGAACUCUGAGACAGGUGCUGCAUGGCUGUCGUCAGCUCGUGUUGUGAAAUGUUGGGUUAAGUCCCGCAACGAGCGCAACCCUUAUCCUUGUUUGCCAGCGAGUAAUGUCGGGAACUCCAGGGAGACUGCCGGUGAUAAACCGGAGGAAGGUGGGGACGACGUCAAGUCAUCAUGGCCCUUACGAGUAGGGCUACACACGUGCUACAAUGGCGCAUACAGAGGGCGGCCAACUUGCGAAAGUGAGCGAAUCCCAAAAAGUGCGUCGUAGUCCGGAUUGGAGUCUGCAACUCGACUCCAUGAAGUCGGAAUCGCUAGUAAUCGUGGAUCAGAAUGCCACGGUGAAUACGUUCCCGGGCCUUGUACACACCGCCCGUCACACCAUGGGAGUGGGCUGCAAAAGAAGUAGGUAGUUUAACCUUCGGGGGGACGCUUACCACUUUGUGGUUCAUGACUGGGGUGAAGUCGUAACAAGGUAGCGCUAGGGGAACCUGGCGCUGGAUCACCUCCUUAUACGAUGAU
Molecule: ribosomal RNA, 1562 nt
Filed under: Vibrio alginolyticus
Lineage: Bacteria; Pseudomonadati; Pseudomonadota; Gammaproteobacteria; Vibrionales; Vibrionaceae
Description: bacterial SSU rRNA
Rfam family: Bacterial small subunit ribosomal RNA
Source: RNAcentral